UACGUAGGGUGCAAGCGUUGUCCGGAAUUAUUGGGCGUAAAGAGCUUGUAGGCGGUUUGUCGCGUCUGCUGUGAAAUUUCGGGGCUCAACCCCGAACUUGCAGUGGGUACGGGCAGACUAGAGUGUGGUAGGGGAGACUGGAAUUCCUGGUGUAGCGGUGAAAUGCGCGGAUAUCAGGAGGAACACCGAUGGCGAAGGCAGGUCUCUGGGCCACUACUGACGCUGAGAAGCGAAAGCAUGGGGAGCGAACAGG
This 253-nucleotide ribosomal RNA is filed under the name uncultured bacterium. RNAcentral's name for it is "partial 16S ribosomal RNA". It matches the Rfam family "Bacterial small subunit ribosomal RNA", at positions 524 to 776 of the family's 1533-position model. The record is from RNAcentral.